CCCUGUGACAUACCACUUGUUGCCUCGGCGGAUCAGCCCGCUCCCGGUAAAACGGGACGGCCCGCCAGAGGACCCCUAAACUCUGUUUCUAUAUGUAACUUCUGAGUAAAACCAUAAAUAAAUCAAAACUUUCAACAACGGAUCUCUUGGUUCUGGCAUCGAUGAAGAACGCAGCAAAAUGCGAUAAGUAAUGUGAAUUGCAGAAUUCAGUGAAUCAUCGAAUCUUUGAACGCACAUUGCGCCCGCCAGUUUCUGGCGGGAUUGCCUUGUUCGAGCGUCAUUUCAACCCUCAAGCACAGCUUGGUGUUGGGACUCGCGUUUAAUUCGCGUUCCCCAAAUUGAUUGGCGG
This 349-nucleotide ribosomal RNA is filed under the name Fusarium oxysporum. RNAcentral describes it as "partial 18S ribosomal RNA". The stretch from base 127 to 280 matches the Rfam family "5.8S ribosomal RNA". The record is from RNAcentral. Lineage: Eukaryota; Fungi; Ascomycota; Sordariomycetes; Hypocreales; Nectriaceae.